Molecule: long non-coding RNA, 811 nt
Filed under: Felis catus (domestic cat)
Lineage: Eukaryota; Metazoa; Chordata; Mammalia; Carnivora; Felidae
Description: lncRNA (ENSFCAG00000041199.2)
Source: RNAcentral
ACCGCUGCGAGUCUCACUCUGUCUGCGAGGGGGACCGGUAACCUGAGGAUGCCCUGAACCAAACGGUGGCUUGAACGGAGACCGCGCGGUCGCAGCUGUCCGUCUGAAUGCUGACGGCCGCCUGGAGCAGGUGGAAAUUGUGCAGAUGGAAAGAUGUCAGCUCGCGGGAGGAGCAAGUCUGGCAGGGGUCGGAGGUGGCCCAAGAUACAGUAAUUCACUAUCCUGCGUCAAACGCCUGGAAGUGCUGGCAUGGAGUGAGGACAGGACAUCUGCUCCCUGGGGCUGGGCACAUGCCAUCAGACUGAAAGGAGGCCCACCGAGAAUGGUGUCAGAUUAUAGCCUGGAUGAUGCCUCUCCAGAUAAGGGACAGGAAGAUCUUUCUCUGGAGAAACUGAAACACCAACUGGGGAUCCCCAACAAAAAUAGGUCCAACUUCUCCAUUGUCCUUCCACCAGUCUACAGCUCUGCCUGCCCUGAGAACUUCCAAUCAGCAUUUGGGUGCUUCACCCUCCAAUAGAGAGAGACACACAAGGAUCGUCAGAAGGUAAGGAGUGCUAGAAGGAAAAGGCUAAAUCAAGAGGAAAUAGCAAAUAAGGGGGUACCUGACUAAGCGUCGACUCUUGAUUUCGGCUCAGGUCAUGGUGUCUGGGUUGUGGGAUUGAGCCCUGCUUCAGGCUCUGUGCUGAGUGUGGAUCCUGCUUGAGAUUCUCACUCUCUCCCUCUCUGCCCCUCUCCCCUUCCCCUGCUCACACUCUCUCUCAUCCUCUCUCUUUAAAAAAAAAGAAAGAACAAAUAAGUAGAAAAGGGGGUG